AACGAACGCUGGCGGCGCGCCUAAUACAUGCAAGUCGAGCGAGAAGGUGUAGCAAUACACUUGUAAAGCGGCGAACGGGUGAGGAAUACAUGGGUAAUCUACCAUCGAGUGGGGAAUAACCAACCGAAAGGUUGGCUAAUACCGCGUACGCCUCCGAGUCUUCGGGUUCGGAGGGAAAGCUGCACUGUGAGUGUAGCGCUCUUUGAUGAGCUCAUGUCCUAUCAGCUUGUUGGUAGGGUAACGGCCUACCAAGGCUUUGACGGGUAGCUGGUCUGAGAGGACGAUCAGCCACACUGGCACUGCGGCACGGGCCAGACUCCUACGGGAGGCAGCAGUAAGGAAUAUUGCGCAAUGGGCGAAAGCCUGACGCAGCGACGCCGCGUGGGGGAUGAAGGUCUUCGGAUUGUAAACCCCUUUCAGCAGGGACGAAGGGUGACUGACGGUACCUGUAGAAGAAGCACCGGCCAACUACGUGCCAGCAGCCGCGGU
Molecule: ribosomal RNA, 489 nt
Filed under: uncultured bacterium
Lineage: Bacteria
Description: bacterial SSU rRNA
Rfam family: Bacterial small subunit ribosomal RNA
Source: RNAcentral